AUGAACGCACUAGAAAGCACAAUGCCAAGUUCUUGGCGAGAGCUCUGUCCUAUCGAAUGUCUCAAGUCGCACGUCACCGAGAUGAUCUUCCAUGAAUUCCGGGGGGAUCGAAGCGAGAUGGAGUUCCUCAAGUUUCUCGACAGGAGCGCGAACGAGACGUGGUAUUUGCUCGUCAGGACUACUGCAGAAAUAUUCGCUUCGCCGGAUGAGAUGGAUGAGCUGAUGACUAAAAUGGAAGAUUUUACGCACCGAGGUUGGGUCUGCGAUCACUCCAUAGUGGUGGUGGGGGAGCCUCUGGAGGAGAACCUCUGGAGUUUCAGCAAAGCGUCGGAUCUCUCUGCUGACAACCCUUUCCAGUGUUCGUCCUAG
This 369-nucleotide ribosomal RNA is filed under the name Triticum aestivum (bread wheat). Its description in RNAcentral is "partial small subunit ribosomal RNA". Lineage: Eukaryota; Viridiplantae; Streptophyta; Magnoliopsida; Poales; Poaceae. The record is from RNAcentral.